Molecule: ribosomal RNA, 271 nt
Filed under: uncultured bacterium
Lineage: Bacteria
Description: partial small subunit ribosomal RNA
Rfam family: Bacterial small subunit ribosomal RNA
Source: RNAcentral
AGGACGAACGCUGGCGGCGUGCUUAACACAUGCAAGUCGAACGGUAAGGCCCUUUCGGGGGUACACGAGUGGCGAACGGGUGAGUAACACGUGGGUGACCUGCCCCUUACUCUGGGAUAAGCCUGGGAAACUGGGUCUAAUACCGGAUAGGACUUCAUGCUGCAUGGUGUGGGGUUGAAAGCCAGUUACUUUUGUUUCUGGCGGUGGGGGAUGGGCCUGCGGCCUAUCAGCUUGUUGGUGGGGUGAUGGCCUACCAAGGCUUCGACGGGUA